This 442-nucleotide ribosomal RNA is filed under the name uncultured bacterium. RNAcentral's name for it is "partial 16S ribosomal RNA". It matches the Rfam family "Bacterial small subunit ribosomal RNA", at positions 339 to 795 of the family's 1533-position model. The record is from RNAcentral.
CUACGGGGGGCUCCAGUCGAGAAUCUUCCACAAUGCACGAAAGUGUGAUGGAGCGACGUCGCGUGCGAGAUGAAGGCCUUCGGGUCGUAAAUCGUUUUUAUAAGGGAAGAAUUUAGAUGACAUUACCUUAUGAAUAAGGGGUUGCUAAUUGCGUGCCAGCAGCAGCGUAAUACGCAAACCCCAAGCGUUAUCCGGAUUUAUUGGGCGUAAAGGGUGGGUAGGCGGAUAUAGCAGUCAGUCGUUAAAUCACUGGGCUCAACCCAGUAAUCGCGAUUGAAACACUAUGUCUAGAGAUAAGUAGAGGUCAACGGAACUCAUGGUGUAGCAGUGAAAUGCGUUGAUAUCAUGGGGAACACCAAAGGCGAAGGCAGUUGACUGGGCUUUAUCUGACGCUGAGCCACGAAAGCGUGGGGAGUGAAGGGGAUUAGAUACCCCUGUAGUC